RNAcentral lists this ribosomal RNA (264 nucleotides) under uncultured bacterium. RNAcentral's name for it is "partial 16S ribosomal RNA". It matches the Rfam family "Bacterial small subunit ribosomal RNA", at positions 30 to 286 of the family's 1533-position model. The record is from RNAcentral.
AUUGAACGCUGGCGGCGUGCCUAACACAUGCAAGUCGAGCGGUAACAGGUGUAGCAAUACAUGCUGACGAGCGGCGGACGGGUGAGUAACGCUUGGGAAUCUGCCUGUUAGUGGGGGACGAACCCGGGGAAACGUACGGGCGUAAUACCGCAUACGCACUACGGUGGAAAGACCGGGGACCGGCAAGGCCUGGCGCUAACAGAUGAGCCCAAGUCGGAUUAGCUAGUUGGUAGGGUAACGGCCUACCAAGGCGACGAUCCGUAA